Molecule: ribosomal RNA, 429 nt
Filed under: Acidobacteriota bacterium
Lineage: Bacteria; Pseudomonadati; Acidobacteriota
Description: Acidobacteria bacterium partial 16S ribosomal RNA
Rfam family: Bacterial small subunit ribosomal RNA
Source: RNAcentral
UGGGGAAUUUUGGACAAUGGGGGAAACCCUGAUCCAGCCAUCCCGCGUGUGCGAUGAAGGCCUUCGGGUUGUAAAGCACUUUUGGCAGGAAAGAAACGUCAUGGGUUAAUACCCCGUGAAACUGACGGUACCUGCAGAAUAAGCACCGGCUAACUACGUGCCAGCAGCCGCGGUAAUACGGAGGGUGCAAGCGUUAAUCGGAAUUACUGGGCGUAAAGCGUGCGCAGGCGGUUCGGAAAGAAAGAUGUGAAAUCCCAGAGCUCAACUUUGGAACUGCAUUUUUAACUACCGGGCUAGAGUGUGUCAGAGGGCGGUGGAAUUCCGCGUGUAGCAGUGAAAUGCGUAGAUAUGCGGAGGAACACCGAUGGCGAAGGCAGCCUCCUGGGAUAACACUGACGCUCAUGCACGAAAGCGUGGGGAGCAAACAGG